UGAGCAAUCUGCCCUUCUCUUCGGAAUAAGCGUGGGAAACCGCGCCUAAUGCCGAAUACGACCUCCUUUCGCAUGAUCGGAGGUGGAAAGCUCCGGCGGAGAAGGAUGAGCUCGCGGCCUAUCAGCUAGUUGGUGUGGGUAAUGGCCCACCAAGGCGACGACGGGUAGCCGGCCUGAGAGGGUGACCGGCCACACUGGGACUGAGACACGGCCCAGACCUCCUACGGGAGGCAGCG
Molecule: ribosomal RNA, 236 nt
Filed under: uncultured bacterium
Lineage: Bacteria
Description: partial 16S ribosomal RNA
Rfam family: Bacterial small subunit ribosomal RNA
Source: RNAcentral